Long non-coding RNA from Sinocyclocheilus grahami, 440 nucleotides. RefSeq lists it as uncharacterized. The transcript is spliced from 3 exons. The record is from RefSeq and is a predicted model, not a curated record. Lineage: Eukaryota; Metazoa; Chordata; Actinopteri; Cypriniformes; Cyprinidae.
UGGUGGUUGCUAUGUAGCUGUUUAGGUGUUCAUGUGGUUUCUAAGGAAUUGCUAUUUGGUUGUCUAUGUGUUUAGGUGGUUGCUAGGCAGUUGCUAUGUGGUUGUUUACGUGUUCAGGUGGUUGCUAAGGAAUUGCUAUGCGGUUGUCUAGGUGUUCAGGUGGUUGCUAUGUAGCUGUUUAGGUGUUCAUGCGGUUUCUAAGGAAUUGCUAUUUGGUUGUCUAUGUGUUUAGGUGGUUGCUAGGGAGUUGCUAUGUGGUUGUUUACGUGUUCAGGUGGUUGCUAAGGAAUUGCUAUGCGGUUGUCUAGGUGUUCAGGUGGUUGCUAGGGAGUUGCUAUGUGGUUGUUUACGUGUUCAGGUGGUUGCUAAGGAAUUGUUAUGUGGUUGUCUAGGUGUUCAGGUGGUUGCUAGGGAGUUGCUAUGUGGUUGUUUACGUGUUC